GGUAAUAUAGAUGCAAAUUUAAGGGAUUACUUUAAAAAAAUUUAAGUAAUAGUGAUGAGCAAUUCAGUUGCAAAUUAGGGGGUUAUUUUAAAUAUUGUUUAUAAUGGCCGAAGUGGGUAAUUUUGACGAAGAUUAGGGGUUGCUUUAGUUUAUUUUAUAUAAUGGUAUAGGUAGGUAAUUUAUAUAUAGAUUUAGUGGGUUACUUUAGGCUAUUUUUAUAAUGGUAUAGGUGGGUAAUUUUUUAAAAAUAUAAUAGAUCCAAUGGCUAUGAUGAUUUGAAUCUAUCUAUUGAUGGUCGGAUGUUUUGCUUUUUUUGAGAAUUUUUAGGAUUUCUCUCUUUUUCCAAAGUGUCCACCUAGGAAUCCUAGGUGGCUUCACCUAGAUGCUUCAAAAGGAACCUUCAAUUAGUAAUAGUAAGAUAAGAUACUCAUACUGUCAUACGAAUAAUAUAUACCAUGUUUUUAUGUUUUUAUAUCUCUUUUCAGGUAUAAUAAUUCUAUCUUGGAUAAUCAUAUGCCAACACCCACGAGUUCAUUGUUAUGUAACUAAUUCUACCGAACUUAUCUCCUUC
Molecule: long non-coding RNA, 571 nt
Filed under: Setaria viridis
Lineage: Eukaryota; Viridiplantae; Streptophyta; Magnoliopsida; Poales; Poaceae
Description: long non-coding RNA (SVIR_LNC008357)
Source: RNAcentral